AAAUAGAUACCCCGGGUAGUCCACGCCGUAAACGAUGGAUGCUAGCUGUUAUGCGUAUCGACCCGUGUAGUAGCGAAGCUAACGCGUUAAGCAUCCCGCCUGGGGAGUACGAACGCAAGUUUAAAACUCAAAGGAAUUGACAGGGACCCGCACAAGCGGUGGAGCGUGUUCUUUAAUUCGAGGCUAAGCGAAGAACCUUACCAGGGCUUGACAUCCUUGGAAUUUCUCCGAAAGGAGAGAGUACUUUAUUGGACCAAGUGACAGGUGCUGCAUGGCCGUCGUCAGCUCGUGUCGUGAGAUGUUUGGUUAAGUCCAUUAACGAGCGCAACCCUUAUGAAUAGUUGUAUUUUUCUAUUCAGACUGCCCCGGUAACGGGGAGGAAGGGGGGGAUGAUGUCAGGUCAGUAUUGCCCUUACGCCCUGGGCUAGAAACGCGCUACAAUGGCCGGUACAAUGCGCUGCCAACCCGCGAGGGGGAGCAAAUCGCAUCAAAGCCGGUCCCAGUUCGGAUAAGAGGCUGAAACUCGCCUCUUUGAAGCCGGAAUCGCUAGUAAUCGGUA
RNAcentral lists this ribosomal RNA (559 nucleotides) under uncultured bacterium. RNAcentral describes it as "bacterial SSU rRNA". It matches the Rfam family "Bacterial small subunit ribosomal RNA", at positions 776 to 1347 of the family's 1533-position model. The record is from RNAcentral.